RNAcentral lists this ribosomal RNA (509 nucleotides) under uncultured bacterium. Its description in RNAcentral is "partial 16S ribosomal RNA". It matches the Rfam family "Bacterial small subunit ribosomal RNA", at positions 28 to 523 of the family's 1533-position model. The record is from RNAcentral.
GAUGAACGCUAGCGACAGGCUUAACACAUGCAAGUCGAGGGGCAGCACGAUUGAAGCUUGCUUUAAUUGGUGGCGACCGGCGCACGGGUGAGUAACGCGUAUGCAACCUACCCAUCAGAGUGGGAUAACCCGGCGAAAGUCGGACUAAUACCGCAUAAAACAGGGAUCCCGCAUGGGAAUAUUUGUUAAAGGAUUAAUCGCUGCUGGAUGGGCAUGCGUGCCAUUAGAUAGUUGGUGAGGUAACGACUCAACAAGUCUGCGAUGGAUAGGGGUUCUGAGAGGAAGGUCCCCCACACUAGUACUGGGACACCGACCAGACUCCUACGGGAGGCAGCAGUGAGGAAUAUUGGUCAAUGGGCGAUAGCCUGAACCAGCCAAGUCGCGUGAAGGAAGACUGCCCUAUGGGUUGUAAACUUCUUUUAUUGGGGAAUAAUGGGUGGGACGUGUCCUGCAGGCUAAUGUACCCUAUGAAUAAGCAUCGGCUAACUCCGUGCCAGCAGCCGCAGUAA